RNAcentral lists this ribosomal RNA (253 nucleotides) under uncultured bacterium. RNAcentral's name for it is "partial 16S ribosomal RNA". It matches the Rfam family "Bacterial small subunit ribosomal RNA", at positions 524 to 776 of the family's 1533-position model. The record is from RNAcentral.
UACGGAGGGGACUAGCGGUGUUCGGAAUUAAUGGGCGUAAAGCGCACGUAGGCGGAUUUGUAAGUCAGGGGUGAAAUCCCGGGGCUCAACCUCGGAACGGCCUUGGAUACUGCAAAUCUCGAGUACGGAAGAGGUGAGUGGAAUUCGUAGUGUAGAGGUGAAAUUCGUAGAUAUUAGGAAGAACACCAGUGGCGAAGGCGGCUCACUGGACCGGUACUGACGCUCAGGUGCGAAAGCGUUGGGAGCAAACAGG